AGCGAACGCUGGCGGCAGGCCUAACACAUGCAAGUCGAACGAACUCUUCGGAGUUAGUGGCGGACGGGUGAGUAACACGUGGGAACGUGCCUUUUGGUUCGGAAUAACUCAGUGAAACUUGUGCUAAUACCGAAUGUGCCCUUCGGGGGAAAGAUUUAUCGCCAUUAGAUCGGCCCGCGUCUGAUUAGCUAGUUGGUGAGGUAACGGCUCACCAAGGCGACGAUCAGUAGCUGGUCUGUGAGGAUGACCAGCCACACUGGGACUGAGACACGGCCCAGACUCCUACGGGAGGCAGCAGUGGGGAAUCUUGCGCAAUGGGCGAAAGCCUGACGCAGCCAUGCCGCGUGAAUGAUGAAGGUCUUAGGAUUGUAAAAUUCUUUCACCGGGGACGAUAAUGACGGUACCCGGAGAAGAAGCCCCGGCUAACUUCGUG
Molecule: ribosomal RNA, 433 nt
Filed under: uncultured bacterium
Lineage: Bacteria
Description: partial 16S ribosomal RNA
Rfam family: Bacterial small subunit ribosomal RNA
Source: RNAcentral